GACGAACGCUGGCGGCGUGCUUAACACAUGCAAGUCGAACGCUGAAGCUCAGCUUUUGUUGGGUGGAUGAGUGGCGAACGGGUGAGUAACACGUGAGUAACCUGCCUCCUUCUUUGGGAUAACGCCCGGAAACGGGUGCUAAUACUGGAUAUUCACUGGUCUUCGCAUGGGGGUUGGUGGAAAGGGUUUUUCUGGUGGGGGAUGGGCUCGCGGCCUAUCAGCUUGUUGGUGGGGUGAUGGCCUACCAAGGCUUUGACGGGUAGCCGGCCUGAGAGGGUGACCGGGCACAUUGGGACUGAGAUACGGCCCAGACUCCGACGGGAGGCAGCAGUGGGGAAUAUUGCGCAAUGGGCGCAAGCCUGAUGCAGCGACGCCGCGUGAGGGAUGGAGGCCUUCGGGUUGUGAACCUCUUUCGCUCAUGGUCAAGCCGCAACAAUGGUUGUGGUGAGGGUAGUGGGUAAAGAAGCGCCGGCUAACUACGUG
Molecule: ribosomal RNA, 483 nt
Filed under: uncultured bacterium
Lineage: Bacteria
Description: partial 16S ribosomal RNA
Rfam family: Bacterial small subunit ribosomal RNA
Source: RNAcentral